AGCACGUAUCGAUCGACAGUCGGGCCUCAUCCAUCCAUUUUCAACUUUGCUUUUUCUGAAAAGGGUCGCGAGGGAUGCUGGAGCCUAACCCAGCUAACUUUGGGCAGAAGGCAGACUACACUAUGAACUGGUCGCCAUUCGUAACACAUAGGGCACAUAUAGAGACAAACACCAGAUUUUUGCAAAAAAAGACAGCAACUGGUUAGCACGUGGGCCUCACAGUGCAGAGGUGCGGGGUUUGAUUCCGGGCCUCGGCCUUCCUGUGUGGAAUUUGCAUGUUCUCCGCGUGCCUGCGUAGGUUUUCUCCAGGAGCAACGUUGGGUCAAAUACAAUUUCUAUCCUCCCAGAUCUGGAUUUGAAAGAAGGAAGAGAGCUUUGCCUAAAAAAAAAAAUAUUUUUCUUACUAAAAGUACAGCUAAACACCCAGCUAGCAACUCACGAUUGGGUGC
Molecule: long non-coding RNA, 449 nt
Organism: Hippocampus zosterae (dwarf seahorse)
Lineage: Eukaryota; Metazoa; Chordata; Actinopteri; Syngnathiformes; Syngnathidae
Exons: 3
Source: RefSeq, a predicted model, not a curated record